RNAcentral lists this small nuclear RNA (123 nucleotides) under Podarcis muralis (Common wall lizard). RNAcentral describes it as "U2 spliceosomal RNA (ENSPMRG00000011667.1)". It matches the Rfam family "U2 spliceosomal RNA". From Rfam's summary of the family: U2 is a small nuclear RNA (snRNA) component of the spliceosome (involved in pre-mRNA splicing). Complementary binding between U2 snRNA (in an area lying towards the 5' end but 3' to hairpin I) and the branchpoint sequence (BPS) of the intron results the bulging out of an unpaired adenosine, on the BPS, which initiates a nucleophilic attack at the intronic 5' splice site, thus starting the first of two transesterification reactions that mediate splicing. The record is from Rfam by way of RNAcentral. Lineage: Eukaryota; Metazoa; Chordata; Lepidosauria; Squamata; Lacertidae.
CCUUCUUCUCGGCCUUUUGGCUAAGAUCAAUUGUAGUAUCUGUUCUUAUCAGUUUAAUAUCUACCCCUUCAUGGAUCACUGCCUUGCCGUGGCGAAGGGGCUUGAAUAACUCAGAGAAGCUAU